UAUCCGUUUUUUUCUUCUUCCAGAUUUUCCUCUAUCUACCAACCUAAGCAUUUCAUGUUUGUAAGGUCGGAGUUUUUUCAUUACAUGCUUCGGCAUUAAAUAUUUUCUUUUCAUAACGUUUUCUACACAUGGACACAGGCAGUGCACUUGCUCGGCGGUUGCUGUUUCCAAUAGUGCUUGUUGAUGAUAAGGCUCAGACGUGCCCAGCAGUUCAAGAAAUGGCUUGUGCCUUAGAAGAUUGAUCAUUUCUGUUCGACGGUUUGGAAGCAAAUGAGUAAAACACAACAGUAAGGAGACUUAGAUUGGAAGAGAGAAAGCAAUUUAGACAAGGC
Non-coding RNA from Paramuricea clavata, 332 nucleotides. NCBI's taxonomy places the organism in Eukaryota, Metazoa, Cnidaria, Anthozoa, Malacalcyonacea, Plexauridae. The record is from the annotation of a GenBank genome assembly.